CAGUUCGGAUUGUAGGCUGCAACUCGCCUACAUGAAGUCGGAAUCGCUAGUAAUCGCGGAUCAGCAUGCCGCGGUGAAUACGUUCCCGGGCCUUGUACACACCGCCCGUCACACCAUGAGAGUUUGUAACACCCAAAGCCGGUGGGGUAACCUUUUGGAGCCAGCCGUCUAAGGUGGGACAGAUGAUUGGGGUGAAGUCGUAACAAGGUAGC
RNAcentral lists this ribosomal RNA (212 nucleotides) under uncultured bacterium. RNAcentral describes it as "partial 16S ribosomal RNA". It matches the Rfam family "Bacterial small subunit ribosomal RNA", at positions 1289 to 1500 of the family's 1533-position model. The record is from RNAcentral.